This 165-nucleotide ribosomal RNA is filed under the name uncultured bacterium. RNAcentral's name for it is "partial 16S rRNA". It matches the Rfam family "Bacterial small subunit ribosomal RNA", at positions 355 to 511 of the family's 1533-position model. The record is from RNAcentral.
UAGGGAAUCUUCGGCAAUGGACGAAAGUCUGACCGAGCAACGCCGCGUGAGUGAAGAAGGUUUUCGAAUCGUAAAACUCUGUUGGUAGAGAAGAACGUUGGUGAGAGUGGAAAGCUCCUCAAGUGACGGUAACUACCCAGAAAGGGACGGCUAACUACGUGCCAC